AACGAACGCUGGCGGCAUGCCUAACACAUGCAAGUCGAACGAGACCUUCGGGUCUCGUGGCGCAAGGGUGCGUAACGCGUGGGAACCUGCCCUUAGGUUCGGAAUAACUCCCUGAAAGGGGUGCUAAUACCGGAUAAUGUCUUCGGACCCAAGAUCUAUCGCCUUUGGAUGGGCCCGCGUUGGAUUAGCUAGUUGGUAGGGUAAAAGCCUACCAAGGCGACGAUCCAUAGCUGGUCUGAGAGGAUGAUCAGCCACACUGGGACUGAGACACGGCCCAGACUCCUACGGGAGGGAGCAGUGGGGAAUAUUGGACAAUGGGCGAGAGCCUGAUCCAGCAAUGCCGCGUGAGUGAUGAAGGCCGUAGGGAUGUAAAGCUCUUUUACCCGGGAUGAUAAUGACAGUACCGGGAGAAUAAGCUCCGGCUAACUCCGUG
RNAcentral lists this ribosomal RNA (433 nucleotides) under uncultured bacterium. Its description in RNAcentral is "partial 16S ribosomal RNA". It matches the Rfam family "Bacterial small subunit ribosomal RNA", at positions 29 to 507 of the family's 1533-position model. The record is from RNAcentral.